UAAAACCUCACUCUAUGCACAGUAGAUCUCCACUGCAGGGUUUAAGCCUGUCUGUCACUGUGAACCUUCAAAGCCAUGAAAAUUGAACGAAGCUCAUCGACCUGCAACAAUGCUCAUAUAACAGUAUAACACCUAUCCAACUGCCUAAUCACACAUAACCCCCCAGAAAAUGAGGUAUUUACAGUUCAUUUCGCGUAUUUACAAAUCGAUCCCGCAAAACCCUACCCCCAAUUUCCGCACAACCCUAAUCCAAUCCAAACUUCCACCUUCUCCAUCCUCGUGUUUGGUUGAUUCCACGCGCAAUUGCACCUCUUCUACGCAAGAAUCGAGGCCGGCACCGUCCGAGACCGUAGCGGGGAUCGUCGACGAGCUCGCGGGCCUCACGCUACUCGAGGUCUCGGACCUCGUGGAGGUCUUGCGGGAGAAGCUGGGCGUCGCUGAGAUGCCUACAAUGAUGGUGAUGAUGCCGGGGAUGGUUCCCGGAGGACUGAGGGGCGGGGCGGCAGCCAGGGGCGGGGCGGCGGCGAAGGCGGAGGAGAAGGCAGAGAAGACGGUGUUCGAUGUGAAGCUCGAGGGGUUCGACGCGGCGGCCAAGAUCAAGGUGAUCAAAGAGGUGAGGACGUUUACGGAUUUGGGGUUGAAGGAGGCCAAGGACUUGGUGGAGAAGGCGCCGACCCUUUUGAAGAAGGGGGUGACGAAGGACGAGGCAGAGAAGAUUAUCGAGAAGUUGAAGCAGAUUGGUGCUAAAGUUUCGAUGGAAUAAGGUCGCUCCAUUUUUGCAAGUUGGCAGUAGUUCUGUUGAUGGUGUGUAUUGAGUAAACAUGUAUAAUGGAGAAUGGAGUUUGCAUUACUGAGGUGCAAUGGGCGAUGGUUUUGUUCAUGGCGUUGGAGGAUAGACAAUCGUGAUUGGCUGUGAUCAUCGUCUCUUCCUAUCUGAAGCAAAAUUUGGUUUUCCAUAUAGAUGGCCAAAACAGUGUGAAGCAACUCUUCUUGCCUUCUGUUUCUUCUGGCUUAUUAUGGUUUUUGAGCAUGAAACUGAUCGAAAUGAGGUGCUGAAAGUCAUGGAGAAAUGAGAGGAAGGAUGUUCCUUACAAAAUGAUGUAGAUGAUGGUCAUAUAAGCAUGUUAUUGGCAGUAGAUCUAUUAGGCAAAUGAGGACUAUUAGUGGAAAUUGGGGCAAUCUGAACAUAAUCAAACAACCUUGUCGCAUGGCUAGUGGCAACAAAUACACAUCAUUUGCAUUUAACUUGGAAGAUUUGUUUAAAGUAUCACAUAAGCAGCUUCAUAACUGGCUAAUGUAUCAAGCCAACAAUGACUUGCCUGGGGGAAGUGGAUGAAAACCAAGAAAUGAGAGACUUUAUGGUAUGGAUUGUCAAGAUCAAGGGCAGCAGAUACUAAUGUGUCACACUUGAGUUGCUAUUGGCAAGUUAUAGAGAUCAGUUUUAGGUUUCUUCAUAAUUUGAGAACAUUCUUUGUUGUAGCUGCUUUGCAUUUUCUUCAACUUGGCAAGCACGAAUCCGAGCAAGUUUUGUUAUAUUGUUCCUACCUUGCAUUUUUUUCCCAUAAAGUGUUCCUGACAAUUCUUAA
Alnus glutinosa is the source of this 1586-nucleotide RNA transcript. RefSeq lists it as uncharacterized. The transcript is spliced from 3 exons. NCBI's taxonomy places the organism in Eukaryota, Viridiplantae, Streptophyta, Magnoliopsida, Fagales, Betulaceae. The record is from RefSeq and is a predicted model, not a curated record.